Molecule: ribosomal RNA, 253 nt
Filed under: uncultured bacterium
Lineage: Bacteria
Description: partial 16S ribosomal RNA
Rfam family: Bacterial small subunit ribosomal RNA
Source: RNAcentral
UACGGGGGGGGCAAGCGUUGUUCGGAAUUACUGGGCGUAAAGGGCUCGUAGGCGGCCAACUAAGUCGGACGUGAAAUCCCCAGGCUCAACCUGGGAACUGCGUCCGAUACUGGAUGGCUUGAAUCCGGGAGAGGGAUGCAGAAUUCCAGGUGUAGCGGUGAAAUGCGUAGAUAUCUGGAGGAAUACCGGUGGCGAAGGCGGCAUCCUGGACCGGCAUUGACGCUGAGGCGCGAAAGCGUGGGUAGCAAACAGG